RNAcentral lists this ribosomal RNA (440 nucleotides) under Vibrio sp. EF4A-CB199. RNAcentral's name for it is "bacterial SSU rRNA". It matches the Rfam family "Bacterial small subunit ribosomal RNA", at positions 8 to 433 of the family's 1533-position model. Lineage: Bacteria; Pseudomonadati; Pseudomonadota; Gammaproteobacteria; Vibrionales; Vibrionaceae. The record is from RNAcentral.
AGAGUUUGAUCCUGGCUCAGAUUGAACGCUGGCGGCAGGCCUAACACAUGCAAGUCGAGCGGAAACGAGUUGUCUGACCCUUCGGGGAACGACAACGGCGUCGAGCGGCGGACGGGUGAGUAAUGCCUGGGAAAUUGCCCUGAUGUGGGGGAUAACCAUUGGAAACGAUGGCUAAUACCGCAUAAUAGCUUCGGCUCAAAGAGGGGGACCUUCGGGCCUCUCGCGUCAGGAUAUGCCCAGGUGGGAUUAGCUAGUUGGUGAGGUAAAGGCUCACCAAGGCGACGAUCCCUAGCUGGUCUGAGAGGAUGAUCAGCCACACUGGAACUGAGACACGGUCCAGACUCCUACGGGAGGCAGCAGUGGGGAAUAUUGCACAAUGGGCGCAAGCCUGAUGCAGCCAUGCCGUUGUGUGUGAAGAAGGCCUUCGGGUUGUAAAGCAC